This 604-nucleotide ribosomal RNA is filed under the name Sampaiozyma ingeniosa. RNAcentral's name for it is "eukaryotic LSU rRNA". The stretch from base 176 to 329 matches the Rfam family "5.8S ribosomal RNA". The record is from RNAcentral. Lineage: Eukaryota; Fungi; Basidiomycota; Microbotryomycetes; Chrysozymaceae.
UCCGUAGGUGAACCUGCGGAAGGAUCAUUAGUGAAUUUAGCGCAUCUGCUUUGCAGAGCGUGACCUCCACUUUCUAACUCUGUGCACUUAAUGGCGGAAGAGAUGAAAUAUGCUCUUCUGCGGCUCAUUUUAUAACACUAGUUAAAGAAUGUAACGAAAUAUCGAAACAAAAAAAAACUUUCAACAACGGAUCUCUUGGCUCUCGCAUCGAUGAAGAACGCAGCGAAAUGUGAUAAGUAAUGUGAAUUGCAGAAUUCAGUGAAUCAUCGAAUCUUUGAACGCACCUUGCGCUCCCUGGUAUUCCGGGGAGCAUGUCUGUUUGAGUGUCAUGAACUCUUCAACCCACCGGUUUCUUGUAAACUGGCUGGUGUUUGGUUUCUGAGUGUUGCUCGUCCUUGUGACUGAGCUCAUUCGUAAUAUAUGAGCAUCUCUAAUUCGAAUUCGGAUUGACUCAGUGUAAUAGACUAUUCGCUGAGGACACACCUAGUGUGGCCGAAUAAGAUAAUUGUAGAAGCUUCUAACCCUUCUAGUCAUUUUAAGAUUAGACCUCAGAUCAGAUAGGACUACCCGCUGAACUUAAGCAUAUCAAUAAGCGGAGGAAAAG